RNAcentral lists this long non-coding RNA (880 nucleotides) under Brassica napus (rape). RNAcentral describes it as "long non-coding RNA (BNAP_LNC009820)". The record is from RNAcentral. Lineage: Eukaryota; Viridiplantae; Streptophyta; Magnoliopsida; Brassicales; Brassicaceae.
GUUCGAGUUCAACCUGAGCAAACAUCCAAACAUCAAAUACAAUGAUGGAAUAACAACGAACAACAUUUAAUAAAGGAAUGCUUACCAAGUGAGAUAAUCACGGGUUGCUUGGACAUCACUGUCCAAAAAUACACGUGAUGAUGUCAUAGAGGAGAGAGCUAGGGCACCUAUAACAGAUCCAAUGUUAUAAUACAGAGUCAAAAUUUGAUGUAAAAUGAGAUGUAUAAUAAUGUAUAUCUAUAAUAUUUGUUAUCUCAGAACCUAUCGGUUCACUCAUAGCUAAUAAGCGCCAAUUUCUAUCAAAUGCAAUCAUAUUAUUUAAAGCUAACAUAACCAGAUAGAUUCAUUAAUCAUCCUAUGUACUUCUUAAAACAAUAAGUAAGUUGAUAAUACGAACCUCCAAAUCGUUUCGGGUUUAAGGUGGUGACCAAAAUAACACGUGCAGUUCCUCCAGAUGCUUUAAUUUUUCCACUAAAAUCAAAAGCAGCCUUGUACCAUAGGUAUAACUUCAUCACCGGACCACUGCAACAUCCAAAACUCGUGUGAUAAGAGAGACAAAAGGAUAGAUGAAUUUACCAAAAUGAAAAGUAAAAAGAUACAGAUUAGCUUACUCAUGUGUUUGAACAUGAAGCAGAACUCGGCGGGAUGAAGCUAUCUCAGCAUCAUCUAUCACGAUACUGUCACUGAGAACCUGCCCAUUCACAAGCUUGAUGUGGCCAACAUAAUCUGCAAAAUAAAACAAUCAAACUCAAUGCUUUAUAUCUUAUAACCCAGCAACGAAAUCUAAAAAUGUAAGUCUGGAUCAAAACACAAUCCUAGCCAACAAUGCUGAAUAUAUUUGAUCGAAUGAAAACAUAUCAUCUAAGAUUAGAUUAAACAU